AACAUAGCUUAAAAGAUGCGGAUUUCCCGUUUGGUGAUAAUGUAUUUGAAAUUUUUUUCGGACUUUAAGUUAUCAUAUGAGAAAAAUAGAAAAAGAUUAGAAAUAUUUGAUUAACCGAACUCCACUCAGAAUUUGUUUUUUGCUAGCGAUAAUUCAUCGUUACUUUCACUGCUAACAAUAAUUAAACUAAAUAAUCCAUCUUGCCUAUGUCUAUCUUCCCAACUUUCCACCCAAAACCGUGACCUACCCGUAAUGCGGAGUUUACUUUUUUAAAAUUUAAAUUGCCAAAAAUAUCAUAGAAUUGGUAAAUACUGAUAAUACGGUAUUAUUGUAAUACCAAUCACACCGUCAAUACCGAAUAUUCGGCACCUAAUCCGUCUAUUAUCGUAAUCUUUACCUGUUCGGGCUAAAGUGCACGUCACUGAAUAUUCGGUAUAUCGUUUAUAACCGUUUAACUUUAAAUACCGAAAAUUUGAAAACUUCAAAUACCACCAGCCCUAACCUAUUUAUUAAAUUCUUUAGGGUUUAUUUUUUUUUUUUUACAUUAUAAUCGCCAAAUAGGUUUAAAUACCUAUUAUACAAUUAUUAAAAUGAAAAAAGAAAAAUCGUUAAAAUAAAAUAGUGAUUACAAAAUGGCCUAUGUAGUAAAAAAUAAUAUACCUAUACAUAUUUUGUUGUCCUAAAACCUAACUUAACAGGCUAAUCCUACCGGUUGCAACAAUCCGGUGAUUUCAUAAUAUAGACCUGAAGUGAUACUGGUAUGUUAAUUGUUGACAUAUGUUUUAAAUAAUUUUCGUCAGUACCUGAGUUAAGAUUGAACGUGGUAUUUGUCUCCUUAUCGGCAGUAUAUUUGUUGGCUAUUCGAAAUAUAUGUGUGACCAUUACUAUAAAUAGAUAUUUACCUACCUAAGUACCUACUGCAUUCCCACUGUUGACGUAAAAUAUAUAGUUUUUUAAAAUAUCGUGUAAAAAAACCGAAAAAGAAGUCGGGCGUUGU
This is a non-coding RNA of Cinara cedri, 997 nucleotides long. Lineage: Eukaryota; Metazoa; Arthropoda; Insecta; Hemiptera; Aphididae. The record is from the annotation of a GenBank genome assembly.